AUAGGUUUUUGCUCAUGCACCAUGGUUGUCUGAGCAUGCAGCAUGCUUGUCUGCUCAUACGCCAUGGUUCCUGAGCAGGAGCCUUC
Molecule: non-coding RNA, 86 nt
Organism: Ictidomys tridecemlineatus (thirteen-lined ground squirrel)
Lineage: Eukaryota; Metazoa; Chordata; Mammalia; Rodentia; Sciuridae
Source: Rfam